GAGGGCAUGGGUCAUUUACAAUAGUUUUGUCUCUGAAGAAGGAUCACGUGUUUCGAUGAUGAGAAACGAAGAAAGCAAGGCGAAUGAACUUUGAAAAUGUUGCACGUUUUAUUGUGUUUCUGGUUCGUUGAAAGCAAAACGUGAAAAGAGAAUAGACUUUAUCGGCCAUUAUCUGGAAAGCAGAAAAAAGGCGCCAAUUCUUUGCCGGCAGUUGAUGGUGCCAGAAAACUUUGAUAUGUGGAACGAUGUGUGAUGGGAGCCUGGCAACAAACACUGCAUAAACCUCCUGAUGAUAACAUUCAUGCAGCUCGUCCCCCAGCAGCCAGCCAAUUUUUGACGACGGCGGUGGUGAUCUUGGUGCCACCGGAAGCUCCGACAACCGAACGCACUUUGCCCGUGGCCGAAUCGACGAUGAUGGUGGGCGUCAUGGAAGAUAAGGGCCGUUUGCCCGGCUCGAUGAAAUUGGCCUCACUGG
Daphnia magna is the source of this 475-nucleotide long non-coding RNA. RefSeq lists it as uncharacterized. NCBI's taxonomy places the organism in Eukaryota, Metazoa, Arthropoda, Branchiopoda, Diplostraca, Daphniidae. The transcript has 4 exons. The record is from RefSeq and is a predicted model, not a curated record.